RNAcentral lists this ribosomal RNA (438 nucleotides) under uncultured bacterium. RNAcentral's name for it is "bacterial SSU rRNA". It matches the Rfam family "Bacterial small subunit ribosomal RNA", at positions 958 to 1397 of the family's 1533-position model. The record is from RNAcentral.
AACGCGAAGAACCUUACCUGGGCUUGACAUGGAGCUGCACGACCUAUGAAAGUAGGUCUCCUUCGAGGGUGCUUCACAGGUGCUGCAUGGCUGUCGUCAGUUCGUGCCGUGAGGUGUUUGGUUAAGUCCACCAACGAACGCAACCCCUUUGGGAUGUUGCCAGCGGGUAAUGCCGGGAACUCGUCCCAGACUGCUUGUUCACGCAAGAGGAAGGUGGGGAUGACGUCAAGUCAGUAUGGCCCUUACGCCCAGGGCUGCACACGUGCUACAAUGGCCGGUACAGAGGGAAGCGAUGCCGCGAGGCGGAGCCAACCCCAGAGAGCCGGCCCAGUUCGGAUCGAGGUCUGCAACCCGACCUCGUGAAGUCGGAUUUGUUAGUAACGGCGUAUCAGCUACGACGCCGUGAAUGCGUUCCCGGGCCUUGUACACACCGCCCGU